This 500-nucleotide ribosomal RNA is filed under the name uncultured bacterium. Its description in RNAcentral is "partial 16S ribosomal RNA". It matches the Rfam family "Bacterial small subunit ribosomal RNA", at positions 30 to 523 of the family's 1533-position model. The record is from RNAcentral.
AUUGAACGCUGGCGGCAUGCUUUACACAUGCAAGUCGAACGGUAACAGGGAGCUUGCUCCGCUGACGAGUGGCGAACGGGUGAGUAAUAUAUCGGAACGUACCCAAGAGUGGGGGAUAACGUAGCGAAAGUUACGCUAAUACCGCAUACGAUCUACGGAUGAAAGUGGGGGAUCGCAAGACCUCAUGCUCCUGGAGCGGCCGAUAUCUGAUUAGCUAGUUGGUGAGGUAAAGGCUCACCAAGGCGACGAUCAGUAGCUGGGCUGAGAGGACGACCAGCGACACUGGAACUGAGACAGGGGCCAGACUCCUAAGGGAGGCAGCAGUGGGGAAUUUUGGACAAUGGGCGAAAGCCUGAUCCAGCAAUGCCGCGUGAGUGAAGAAGGCCUUCGGGUUGUAAAGCUCUUUUGUCAGGGAAGAAACGGGAGUGGCUAAUAUCCAUUCCUAAUGACGGUACCUGAAGAAUAAGCACCGGCUAACUACGUGCCAGCCGCCGCCGUAA